RNAcentral lists this transfer RNA (73 nucleotides) under Sphaerodactylus townsendi. RNAcentral describes it as "tRNA-Val". It matches the Rfam family "tRNA". Rfam says of the family: Transfer RNA (tRNA) molecules are approximately 80 nucleotides in length. Their secondary structure includes four short double-helical elements and three loops (D, anti-codon, and T loops). Lineage: Eukaryota; Metazoa; Chordata; Lepidosauria; Squamata; Sphaerodactylidae. The record is from RNAcentral.
GGGGCAUGUGGCUCAGUCUUAAAGCAUCUGCUUCACAUGCAGUAGGUCCCUGGUUCAGGCCCCAGCAUCUCCA